GACGAACGCUGGCGGCGUGCUUAACACAUGCAAGUCGAACGGAAAGGCCCUGCUUUUGUGGGGUGCUCGAGUGGCGAACGGGUGAGUAACACGUGAGUAACCUGCCCUUGACUUUGGGAUAACUUCAGGAAACUGGGGCUAAUACCGGAUAGGAGCUCCUGCUGCAUGGUGGGGGUUGGAAAGUUUCGGCGGUUGGGGAUGGACUCGCGGCUUAUCAGCUUGUUGGUGGGGUAGUGGCUUACCAAGGCUUUGACGGGUAGCCGGCCUGAGAGGGUGACCGGCCACAUUGGGACUGAGAGACGGCCCAGACUCCUACGGGAGGCAGCAGGGGGGAAUAUUGCACAAUGGGCGGAAGCCGGAUGCAGCAACGCCGCGUGCGGGAUGACGGCCUUCGGGUUGUAAACCGCUUUCGCCUGUGACGAAGCGUGAGUGACGGUAAUGGGUAAAGAAGCACCGGCUAACUACGUG
Molecule: ribosomal RNA, 468 nt
Filed under: uncultured bacterium
Lineage: Bacteria
Description: partial 16S ribosomal RNA
Rfam family: Bacterial small subunit ribosomal RNA
Source: RNAcentral